This 503-nucleotide ribosomal RNA is filed under the name uncultured bacterium. Its description in RNAcentral is "partial 16S ribosomal RNA". It matches the Rfam family "Bacterial small subunit ribosomal RNA", at positions 29 to 523 of the family's 1533-position model. The record is from RNAcentral.
AACGAACGCUGGCGGCAGGCUUAACACAUGCAAGUCGAGCGGGGUGAUGGUGCUUGCACUAUCACUUAGCGGCGGACGGGUGAGUAAUGCUUAGGAAUCUGCCUAUUAGUGGGGGACAACAUCUCGAAAGGGAUGCUAAUACCGCAUACGUCCUACGGGAGAAAGCAGGGGAUCACUUGUGACCUUGCGCUAAUAGAUGAGCCUAAGUCGGAUUAGCUAGUUGGUGGGGUAAAAGCCUACCAAGGCGACGAUCUGUAGCGGGUCUGAGAGGAUGAUCCGCCACAUUGGGACUGAGACACGGCCCAGACUCCUACGGGAGGCAGCAGUGGGGAAUAUUGGACAAGGGGGGGAACCCUGAUCCAGCCAUGCCGCGUGUGUGAAGAAGGCCUUAUGGUUGUAAAGCACUUUAAGCGAGGAGGAGGCUCUUUUGGUUAAUACCCAAGAUGAGUGGACGUUACUCGCAGAAUAAGCACCGGCUAACUACGUGCCAGCCGCCGCCGUAA